GUAGGGUCUAGACCUGACAUAUCUUCAUAGGACCAUGCAAAAAUAUCCGGAUAUUCCCGGAGGAGCUGGAUGAUCUUCUGUUUAACCCCCUCCUCUAGAGUAGCACCAAUCUUGAUUUCUCGCUUGUUUUCCUCGGUACCUAUGUUGAUAAGCUCAAUCUCUUCCUGG
Medicago truncatula (barrel medic) is the source of this 168-nucleotide microRNA precursor. It matches the Rfam family "MIR2680 microRNA precursor family". Lineage: Eukaryota; Viridiplantae; Streptophyta; Magnoliopsida; Fabales; Fabaceae. The record is from Rfam.